Molecule: ribosomal RNA, 475 nt
Filed under: uncultured bacterium
Lineage: Bacteria
Description: bacterial SSU rRNA
Rfam family: Bacterial small subunit ribosomal RNA
Source: RNAcentral
GACGAACGCUGGCGGCGCGCCUAACACAUGCAAGUCGAGCGGGGUUCUUUUAGGAAGCUUGCUUCCUGGUUGAACCUAGCGGCGGACGGGUGAGUAACACGUGAGCAACCUGCCCUGGAGAGGGGGAUAACAUCCGGAAACGGAUGCUAAUACCGCAUAACAUCGAGAGCCGGCAUCGGUUUUCGAUCAAAGGAGAAAUCCGCUCUAGGAUGGGCUCGCGUCCGAUUAGAUAGUUGGUGAGGUAACGGCUCACCAAGUCGACGAUCGGUAGCCGGACUGAGAGGUUGAUCGGCCACAUUGGGACUGAGACACGGCCCAGACUCCUACGGGAGGCAGCAGUGGGGAAUAUUGCACAAUGGGGGAAACCCUGAUGCAGCGACGCCGCGUGAGCGAAGAAGGCCUUCGGGUUGUAAAGCUCUGUUGAGGGGGACGAAGAAUGACGGUACCCCUUUAGAAAGCCACGGCUAACUACGUG